UGAGGAAUAUUGGUCAAUGGGCGAGAGCCUGAACCAGCCAAGUAGCGUGCAGGAAGACGGCCCUAUGGGUUGUAAACUGCUUUUAUAGGGGAAUAAAGUGAGCCACGUGUGGUUUUUUGCAUGUACCCUAUGAAUAAGGACCGGCUAAUUCCGUGCCAGCAGCCGCGGUAAUACGGAAGGUCCGGGCGUUAUCCGGAUUUAUUGGGUUUAAAGGGAGCGUAGGCCGGAGAUUAAGCGUGUUGUGAAAUGUAGGUGCUCAACAUCUGCACUGCAGCGCGAACUGGUUUCCUGAGUACGCAUAAAGUGGGCGGAAUUCGUGGUGUAGCGGUGAAAUGCUUAGAUAUCACGAAGAACUC
Molecule: ribosomal RNA, 356 nt
Filed under: uncultured Prevotella sp.
Lineage: Bacteria; Pseudomonadati; Bacteroidota; Bacteroidia; Bacteroidales; Prevotellaceae
Description: bacterial SSU rRNA
Rfam family: Bacterial small subunit ribosomal RNA
Source: RNAcentral